Molecule: ribosomal RNA, 427 nt
Filed under: uncultured bacterium
Lineage: Bacteria
Description: partial 16S ribosomal RNA
Rfam family: Bacterial small subunit ribosomal RNA
Source: RNAcentral
UGGGGAAUAUUGCACAAUGGGCGCAAGCCUGAUGCAGCCAUGCCGCGUGUAUGAAGAAGGCCUUCGGGUUGUAAAGUACUUUCAGCGAGGAGGAAGGCGUUGUGGUUAAUAACCGCAGCGAUUGACGUUACUCGCAGAAGAAGCACCGGCUAACUCCGUGCCAGCAGCCGCGGUAAUACGGAGGGUGCAAGCGUUAAUCGGAAUUCAUGGGCGUAAAGCGCACGCAGGCGGUCUGUCAAGUCGGAUGUGAAAUCCCCGGGCUCAACCUGGGAACUGCAUCCGAAACUGGCAGGCUAGAGUCUUGUAGAGGGGGGUAGAAUUCCAGGUGUAGCGGUGAAAUGCGUAGAGAUCUGGAGGAAUACCGGUGGCGAAGGCGGCCCCCUGGACAAAGACUGACGCUCAGGUGCGAAAGCGUGGGGAGCAAACA